AACGAACGCUGGCGGCAGGCUUAACACAUGCAAGUCGAGCGCCCCGCAAGGGGAGCGUCAGACGGGUGAGUAACGCGUGGGCACGUACCUUUUGGUUCGGAACAACUCCGGGAAACUGGAGCUAAUACCGGAUAAGCCCUAACGGGGAAAGAUGUAUCGCAGAAAGAUCGGCCCGCGUCUGAUUAGCUAGUUGGUGCGGUAACGGCUCACCAAGGCGACGAUCAGUAGCUGGUCUGAGAGGAUGAUCAGCCACACUGGGACUGAGACACGGCCCAGACUCCUACGGGAGGCAGCAGUGGGGAAUAUUGGACAAUGGGCGCAAGCCUGAUCCAGCCAUGCCGCGUGAGUGAUGAAGGCCUUAGGGUUGUAAAGCUCUUUUGUCCGGGAAGAUAAUGACUGUACCGGAAGAAUAAGCCCCGGCUAACUUCGUG
RNAcentral lists this ribosomal RNA (431 nucleotides) under uncultured bacterium. RNAcentral describes it as "partial 16S ribosomal RNA". It matches the Rfam family "Bacterial small subunit ribosomal RNA", at positions 29 to 507 of the family's 1533-position model. The record is from RNAcentral.